This 420-nucleotide ribosomal RNA is filed under the name uncultured bacterium. RNAcentral's name for it is "bacterial SSU rRNA". It matches the Rfam family "Bacterial small subunit ribosomal RNA", at positions 355 to 774 of the family's 1533-position model. The record is from RNAcentral.
UAAGGAAUAUUGCUCAAUGGGAGAAAUCCUGAAGCAGCAACGCCGCGUGGAGGAUGAAGGGUCUAUGACUUGUAAACUCCUGUAAAGAAGGAAAAAAUUCCCAUUUGAUGGGAGAUGAUGGUACUUCUGGAGUAAGCCCCGGCUAACUACGUGCCAGCAGCCGCGGUAAUACGUAGGGGGCAAGCGUUGUCCGGAUUUACCGGGUGUAAAGGGUGCUCAGGCGGAUUUGUAAGUCAGAGGUGAAAUCUUACAGCUUAACUGUGAAACUGCCUUUGAUACUGCAAGCCUAGAGUAUGGAAGAGAGUGAUGGAAUAUCUGGUGUAGCAGUGAAAUGCGUAGAUAUCAGAUAGAACACCAAUGGCGAAGGCAGUCACUUGGUCCAUUACUGACGCUAAAGCACGAAAGCGUGGGUAGCAAACA